GAUUAUGGCUCAGGAUGAACGCUGGCGGCGUGCUUAACACAUGCAAGUCGAACGAAGCAACUAUCUUGCUUGCAAGAGAGUUGACUUAGUGGCGGACGGGUGAGUAACGCGUGGGUAACCUGCCUCAUACAGGGGGAUAACAGUUGGAAACGACUGCUAAGACCGCAUAACCCGCUAGUGUCGCAUGACACGGACGGAAAAUAUUUAUAGGUAUGAGAUGGGCCCGCGUCUGAUUAGCUAGUUGGUAAGGUAACGGCUUACCAAGGCGACGAUCAGUAGCCGACUUGAGAGAGUGAUCGGCCACAUUGGGACUGAGACACGGCCCAAACUCCUACGGGAGGCAGCAGUGGGGAAUAUUGGACAAUGGGGGAAACCCUGAUCCAGCCGACGCCGCGUGAGUGAAGAAGUAUUUCGGUAUGUAAAGCUCUAUCAGCAGGGAAGAUAAUGACAGUACCUGACUAAGAAGCCCCGGCUAACUACGUGCCAGCCGCCGC
RNAcentral lists this ribosomal RNA (494 nucleotides) under uncultured bacterium. RNAcentral's name for it is "bacterial SSU rRNA". It matches the Rfam family "Bacterial small subunit ribosomal RNA", at positions 15 to 518 of the family's 1533-position model. The record is from RNAcentral.